AUUGAACGCUGGCGGCAGGCCUAACACAUGCCAGUCGAGCGGAUGAAGGGAGCUUGCUCCUGGAUUCAGCGGCGGACGGGUGAGUAAUGCCUAGGAAUCUGCCUGGUAGUGGGGGAUAACGUCCGGAAACGGGCGCUAAUACCGCAUACGUCCUGAGGGAGAAAGUGGGGGAUCUUCGGACCUCACGCUAUCAGAUGAGCCUAGGUCGGAUUAGCUAGUUGGUGGGGUAAAGGCCUACCAAGGCGACGAUCCGUAACUGGUCUGAGAGGAUGAUCAGUCACACUGGAACUGGGACACGGUCAAGACGCCUACGGGAGGCAGCAGUGGGGAAUAUUGGACAAUGGGCGAAAGCCUGAUACAGCCAUGCCGCGUGUGUGAAGAAGGUCUUCGGAUUGUAAAGCACUUUAAGUUGGGAGGAAGGGCAGUAAGUUAAUACCUUGCUGUUUUGACGUUACCAACAGAAUAAGCACCGGCUAACUUCGUG
Molecule: ribosomal RNA, 484 nt
Filed under: uncultured bacterium
Lineage: Bacteria
Description: partial 16S ribosomal RNA
Rfam family: Bacterial small subunit ribosomal RNA
Source: RNAcentral